CUAUACAUGCAAGUCGAGCGCGGGAAGCAAACGGAAUCCUUCGGGAGGAAGUUUGUGGAACGAGCGGCGGACGGGUGAGUAACACGUGGGCAACCUACCUGUAAGAUUGGGAUAACCCCGGGAAACCGGGGCUAAUACCAGAUAACACUUACCAUCUCAUGGUGGUAAGUUGAAAGGCGGCUAGGGUGAAAGUUUACUUUCAUCUCUGCUGUCACUUACAGAUGGGCCCGCGGCGCAUUAGCUAGUUGGUGGGGUAACGGCUCACCAAGGCAACGAUGCGUAGCCGACCUGAGAGGGUGAUCGGCCACACUGGGACUGAGACACGGCCCAGACUCCUACGGGAGGCAGCAGUAGGGAAUCUUCCGCAAUGGACGAAAGUCUGACGGAGCAACGCCGCGUGAGUGAUGAAGGUUUUCGGAUCGUAAAACUCUGUUGUUAGGGAAGAACAAGUACCGUUCGAAUAGGGCGGUACCAUGACGGUACCUAACCAGAAAGCCCCGGCUAACUACGUGCCAGCAGCCGCGGUAAUACGUAGGGGGCAAGCGUUGUCCGGAAUUAUUGGGCGUAAAGCGCUCGCAGGCGGUCUUUUAAGUCUGAUGUGAAAGCCCACGGCUCAACCGUGGAGGGUCAUUGGAAACUGGAGGACUUGAGUACAGAAGAGGAGAGUGGAAUUCCACGUGUAGCGGUGAAAUGCGUAGAGAUGUGGAGGAACACCAGUGGCGAAGGCGACUCUCUGGUCUGUAACUGACGCUGAGGAGCGAAAGCGUGGGGAGCGAACAGGAUUAGAUACCCUGGUAGUCCACGCCGUAAACGAUGAGUGCUAGGUGUUAGGGGGUUUCCGCCCCUUAGUGCUGAAGUUAACGCAUUA
Molecule: ribosomal RNA, 868 nt
Filed under: Bacillus sp. KB1
Lineage: Bacteria; Bacillati; Bacillota; Bacilli; Caryophanales; Bacillaceae
Description: bacterial SSU rRNA
Rfam family: Bacterial small subunit ribosomal RNA
Source: RNAcentral